This 1061-nucleotide long non-coding RNA is filed under the name Malus domestica (apple). RNAcentral's name for it is "long non-coding RNA (MDOM_LNC005820)". Lineage: Eukaryota; Viridiplantae; Streptophyta; Magnoliopsida; Rosales; Rosaceae. The record is from RNAcentral.
ACUUAUUUUCAACUCUUUUUCUUUCUUUUCUGUACUUUUUUUUUCUUUUUCUUUUUUCUUCUUUUAUUGCCGUGCCCUAUGGCACACAAAACAUACACUUUGAAACCUUUCCCCUACACUUGUUUUCUGCAAUAAUGUUACCAAAAAGGAAUUCCUUCUAAAUCAUGCUCCACUAUACUUCAAGAACAAGGGUAUGGAAAGUCCUAAUCUAGGCUAGGUAGGGAUAAUGUGGUUAACAAAGAAAAUAGGCUAGACAAAGCUCAAAGGGGUUAAAACCUACAAAACAAAUGACAAAGGUGGAUUCGGCUAUUUGGCUUUGGUUCACUAAACAACUUCAUCUUGAAUAUGUGAUAUGCAAAUCAAUGUCAUGCUUUGAAUGGAAUAGGCAUGAGUUCUAGUAUUUAGAUCUAUAAUGAUGAAACACAUUCUAAGUAGCAACCAAGCAAAGAAUAAUGAGAUCAUGCAACGACGUUAGAAAACAAGAAUGCAUAGAUUAAUAACUCUCCAAAUAAACAUUUAGGCUCAAGUCUCUCAGGGAUGUAGCGUUAGUUUGAGUUCCUUCCUUCAAGCAUGUUACAACAACUGAUUUUUUUUUCUUUUGUGAUUGCAUGUGAAUUCGUAAACUAUAACUACAACCAAGCAUAAACUGAAGAGCAUAUCAAACUUCCAUUUAUGUUUGUAACUUUCUUUAACAGUCAUGCACUUAAAAACCAAAUCCUCAUUAUUGUGUUGGAAGGUACCCUAAAACACAAAUAAACACACAAAAACAACUCAUUUUGGUUUUUUUCAAAACAAUUUUUCAAAUUUUUAUCAAAUUUUUGGAUUUUUAUGUCAAAACACACCACAAACACUUAAAAACAGUGCAAAACAACAUUGUAAGUGAUAGGUGAAUAAAACCCACGAAAAUCAUGCAAAACAGCUUGUUUACCCCCCCCCCCACAUUUAAAUCAAACAUUGUCCUCAAUGUUUCACACAUAUACUUACACUCAAACAAGCAAACAACACAACUAAUAAAACAUGACAAGUACGGCAAAGUAAAAAAACAAGAAAGAGUAGAGUUU